GAGGCGCAGCGAAAGCGAGUCUUAAUAGGGCGAUAGUUGCUGGGUGUAGACCCGAAACCAGAUGAUCUACUCAUGGCCAGGAUGAAGCGAGGGUAACACCUCGUGGAGGUCCGAACCCACUAAUGUUGAAAAAUUAGGGGAUGAGCUGUGGGUAGGGGUGAAAGGCUAAACAAAUCUGGAAAUAGCUGGUUCUCUCCGAAAACUAUUUAGGUAGUGCCUCAUGUAUCACCUUUGGGGGUAGAGCACUGUUAUGGCUAGGGGGUCAUUGAGACUUACCAAACCAUUGCAAACUCCGAAUACCAAAGAGUGCGAGCAUGGGAGACAGACAUCGGGUGCUAACGUCCUGUGUCAAAAGGGAAACAACCCAGACCCUCAGCUAAGGUCCCCAAGACACAAUUAAGUGGGAAACGAAGUGGGAAGGCAUAGACAGUCAGGAGGUUGGCUUAGAAGCAGCCACCCUUUAAAGAAAGCGUAAUAGCUCACUGAUCGAGUCGUCCUGCGCGGAAGAUGUAACGGGG
RNAcentral lists this ribosomal RNA (518 nucleotides) under uncultured bacterium. RNAcentral describes it as "bacterial LSU rRNA". It matches the Rfam family "Bacterial large subunit ribosomal RNA", at positions 663 to 1180 of the family's 2925-position model. The record is from RNAcentral.